GAGUGUUGUACGCGUAUGAACUUAAGAAUUCUAAGGUUAGGGAGGGGUAGGUGGGUUGAUUAUGAGUGCAAAGGAAGGUUAAGUCGGCAAGGCGGAACAUCCACUCGAUACCUUGGAGUAAUCCUAAUUGUUGUAAACAAGUUAAAUCAGGAUACCUGGUAGAGACGACGCCUCGCUGUUGGAAACGCUCGAAUUGCUCCCUUUGAUAGUUUUCAUCUUCGG
This 222-nucleotide long non-coding RNA is filed under the name Lathyrus oleraceus (garden pea). RNAcentral describes it as "Pisum sativum (pea) long non-coding RNA (PSAT_LNC018053)". Lineage: Eukaryota; Viridiplantae; Streptophyta; Magnoliopsida; Fabales; Fabaceae. The record is from RNAcentral.